GUAUAGUUGUACGUGCGAGUUAGUUCUCUAUUUUCAUGUAUAUUUAAUACUGUAAUGUCUUGCAUCAGCACAUAUGCAGUCUAAAUAGUCAAUAAUGAGCAACUCAAGCAAAGCUUUAUUAGGAUUAAAGUUGUUAUUGUUUUAAAAGCUGUGAGUGGUGCAAUAGAAGGCAAAUACAGUUGUUCAUAUCAAUUAUGUAAAAAUAAGAAUACUUUAUAAAGGGCACAUGUACCACAUAAAAGUUUGCAGACACGCAUCACCAAUGAUGUUGUCCAUAGCAACUAGUAAAAUCCCUGUUUUUUUAGUCUACAUUGUAUGUGGCAUCUGUGACAUCGGACAAAUUCAUGAAUGGUUGGCACGAAAUAUUUUAUAGGUUUACACUUUUUCUACAUAGUUUUCAACAUGAUUGUCCUCUAAAUGUACUAAAUAUUUGUAUAUGUUUUCCUGCAUAUUUAAUAAUAUGCAUUUUUAGUUCACAAGUAGGAAACAACUCACAACUAAUCCUUUGCUUUUAAACUGAUAAGCAGUAAAUGUUACAUACUGUUUGAUUGCAACCUUAUAUAGCUACUUUUAUAACAAGUUUAUUUAAGUGCAUAACCUCUUGAAGGGGGUGGUAAUAUGUCAUUAUGUAAAUUUAGUUGUGAAUAAGCAAUUUGGAAGGCCAGCUUAAUUAAAUCAGGUCAUAUAAAACACAUGAAUAACUAAUUAAACUAUACAAUAUUAAUAUAUUAAAAGUACAGUUUAGUUAAUUAAUAAUAUCAUACACAAGAGGCAUGUUGAAAUACAUUGAUAUGUUUAAAAGAGUGUUUAGUUGGCUACUAUUGUUGUUAUAUAAUGCAUGUAGACUUGGGUUACAUGUUUUUUUAUAUUUGCACUAUACAGAGAAUGAUGACAAACUGUAAGACUGUAAAAAGUCAUUAGGGAAUAAAUUAAACAACUAAGUUUAUUUUAUAGUCAGUCUUUCACUAUCUUCUGUUUCUAAUUAUGUUUUUAACAUGAUAACGUAUCUACUUAAUGAUGUAUUUUUUAAGUUGUUGGUAUACUUGACCACUAAAGUUUAAGUAUUUUUUGAAUUCAACAAUAUUAAUCACUUUGCCUAUUAUUCUUCUAUCUGAUUUUAAUAUAUGUUUUUUAAUUGUUUUAAUGGGGUGUAUUGAUCAAAAUUGUGUAUAAUUGUUUGCUUUUUGAUUCAGGGGCUGACCUUUUAAUAUUUAAUUUUGUUAUCCCAAUCAAUAUAUGCCUGAAUGCAUGUAUGACUUUGGACACUAGUAACAAUGCUGCUAUAAUAGUACCGUUUAGUGUUGAUUAAUUAAAAGCAGAUAGUAGCAACCUGUUAAACAUAUAAUACUAUUUAUGUUAUAUUUAAAUCAAUAAUAAAGAUUAUACCUUAUCAUCUUCUUUACAGAUUUCGGAAAAAUAUGACCUACUUUAUGGAUCAUUAGCUUCAAAAAUCUCAAAUCAAAGAAAAAAACAGAUAUGGGAAAAUAUAAAAAACAAAGUUAGUUCUGUAGGAGUGGGUCCAAGAACAGUCAUUCAGCUGAAGAAACGAUGGUUGGAUAUUAGACGGCGUACCAAAGAUAAACUGAGUGAUAUAGAGAAAAAAAGAUCAAAAACUGGUGGUGGAGAUGAGAAGGUUACAUCACUGAAUCAAUUUGAAGCCCAAGUAAUGCAAUUUAAUUGAAAGUUCUAACUUUAUAAACAUCCCCGUUUUUUUUGUUUUUUUUAAAAAACAUUUCAAUAUUUAUAUUUGGGAAAGGAAGAGAAGAGGUGCAGGGUAAUAAUAUUAAAUAUCAAUGUUGUAAUAAUUGCAAACAUUAUAAGCUCACAAAUGUUGCCAAAUGGAAUAAAUUAUCUGUCCUAAGUUUUAGUUACAAUUUAGUGAGUUUCAAAAUUUGUAGACUGAACAAGAAUGAAUAAAUGUAUUUAUAUAAUAAUUAGAAUUUUGUGUGUAAAUGUGUCAAAUCUUUCCUUAACAUUUUAACAUAUAGAAAAAUCGGAAUUACAAACAGUUGCUUUUUAAUAACAUUUAUUAUUAAAUCUUUUGUGUUUUGUUAAGGUUCAAGGGACAAUACCUGAAUUAUUAAUUAAAGGUGACUCCAAGUUUGAUAGUAGUGACGUGCAAUCAGUCCGUGAAUAUGCAACUGUAGAAAACAGCAUCAAUGACUUCAUAGAUCUAAGCGAUACAGAAGAUUUUGCAACUUCAUCUAAAAGUCAAAUGUCGAAACCUUCACUUUAUGUAGAUAAUUCAAAGAAAGACAUUCAAAAUGAGCUGCUCAAAAUAUGUCAAGAAGGUAGACCUGCUCAGGAAGAGUGUUUAAAUGUUCUGAAACAAAUACUAUCUGUGUCAAAUGCACAGCUUGAGAUAACAAAAGAAAACAAUGGGUUUUUACAAACAAUCAAUAAAGGUAUAAAAACCAUAGAGUCGGCAUUAGUAGGUUACCUUAAAAUGGAAAGGCAACUAGUGUUCACAGUUGAAACUGACUCAACUGAUUAUAUUAUCGAUAAUCCAACCAAUACAUUCGAGCAACACAUAGGAGAUUUGCCCAGUGAUACAGUUAAUGUGAAUGAAAGCAAGCCUCAAUCUCCAUUAUUGGCACUUGAUUCCAACAGUCAUACAGAUGAAAAUGUAGCUAUAACUGACAACAGUGUCAGCCAACAGAAUGAUGUUUAUAAUGAUAGUUUUAUUGACCAAUGCUCCACAAUUGUCAAAGAGGUUUUGACAAUAGAAACAGCACCUCCCAGGCGUUCAUACCGAAAAAGGAAGUCUAACAACAUUUUAUCAGUGGGUCCAAAAAAAAAAAAAAAAUAUUAAAAAUUGGGAAGGUAUACAUUUUUGUUGUCUUCACUUUUAAAGUUACAUGCCCAAUAUAAAAACUAUAGGUUUACUUACAAAUAUGACAGACAAGUAUGGUGUUUGUUCUUUUCAAAGCAUAUGCAUUGCUCUCUUUAAAUAAGUUUAUGAGCUUCUCUGUUACAUUGUUAAUUUGUUUUUAGAUAGUUCACUAGAAAUGGACAGUUUUUCACGUUUUAAAGGGGUGGUUCACCUUCCAAACACUUUCUUUUCUCAAUUCAGUUGUUUUAGAUUGUUCCC
Xenopus laevis (African clawed frog) is the source of this 3091-nucleotide RNA transcript. RefSeq lists it as uncharacterized. The transcript has 3 exons. NCBI's taxonomy places the organism in Eukaryota, Metazoa, Chordata, Amphibia, Anura, Pipidae. The record is from RefSeq and is a predicted model, not a curated record.